GAUGAACGCUGGCGGCGUGCCUAACACAUGCAAGUCGAACGAAGCUUGACGGAUGAUUUCUUCGGAAUGAAACCUGAUAUGACUUAGUGGCGGACGGGUGAGUAACACGUGAGCAACCUGCCUUUCAGAGGGGGAUAACGGCUGGAAACGGUCGCUAAUACCGCAUACGUUCCGUGCGAGAGCACGGAGGAAAGCAGCAAUGCGCGGUGGGACGGGCCUGCGGCCCAUCAGGUGGUUGGUGGGGUAAUGGCCUACCAAGCCGAUGACGGGUAGCUGGUCUGUGAGGACAACCAGCCAGACUGGGACUGAGACAGGCCCAGACUCCUACGGGAGGCAGCAGCAAGGAAUUUCCCCAAUGGGCGCAAGCCUGAGGGGAGCAACGCCGCGUGCAGGACGAC
RNAcentral lists this ribosomal RNA (398 nucleotides) under uncultured bacterium. RNAcentral's name for it is "bacterial SSU rRNA". It matches the Rfam family "Bacterial small subunit ribosomal RNA", at positions 28 to 412 of the family's 1533-position model. The record is from RNAcentral.